Molecule: ribosomal RNA, 240 nt
Filed under: Triticum aestivum (bread wheat)
Lineage: Eukaryota; Viridiplantae; Streptophyta; Magnoliopsida; Poales; Poaceae
Description: partial small subunit ribosomal RNA
Source: RNAcentral
AUGCUGCCACAACACUUGAGACUGCUGCCCUCUUUUUCUGGGCGACGACGGGCUACAAGUGGGGCGGCACCGCCAACCACCUAUGCGAUUUCGCCGGCGAAGAUGCUGCUACCCCGGCGUGGCGGAGCUGCAACCGUAGUUCGGCGGAGCUACAACCUCAGCGACAAGUGCGGGAGGCAACGAGUGCGGCGACCGACAACGAGGACGGCCAGCGAGGUGCGGCAACCAGAGAGCGUGUGA